UGAUUUUAUCUUCUAUUUUGAGUACUCUGGGUUUCUUUUGAUGUGGUUAUGAUUAUUUUUAUUUAGUUUAACUCUGUAGGUUUUCUCUGUUUGAUCUCUUGCUAUUUUAGGUGUUUUUUAUCUUUCUAUUUUAGGCUCAUUUGAUUGGAUAAUAGUAUUGGUUUGGUUACUCUUCUUUUUUCAGAUUUUCUUAUUUUUCGUUUUUUCUGUUGGUUGUUUUGUUUCUUUUCCAUCUCUCCCUCUACAAUUCUGU
Molecule: long non-coding RNA, 253 nt
Filed under: Gossypium raimondii (Peruvian cotton)
Lineage: Eukaryota; Viridiplantae; Streptophyta; Magnoliopsida; Malvales; Malvaceae
Description: long non-coding RNA (GRAI_LNC008358)
Source: RNAcentral